Molecule: ribosomal RNA, 492 nt
Filed under: uncultured bacterium
Lineage: Bacteria
Description: partial 16S ribosomal RNA
Rfam family: Bacterial small subunit ribosomal RNA
Source: RNAcentral
AGUGAACGCUGGCGGUAUGCCUAACACAUGCAAGUCGAACGGCAGCACAGUAAGAGCUUGCUCUUACGGGUGGCGAGUGGCGGACGGGUGCGGAAUACAUCGGAAUCUACUUUUUCGUGGGGGAUAACGUAGGGAAACUUACGCUAAUACCGCAUACGACCUACGGGUGAAAGCAGGGGAUCUUCGGACCUUGCGCGAUUGAAUGAGCCGAUGUCGGAUUAGCUAGUUGGCGGGGUAAAGGCGCACCAAGGCGACGAUCCGUAGCUGGUCUGAGAGGAUGAUCAGCCACACUGGAACUGAGACACGGCCCAGACUCCUACGGGAGGCAGCAGUGGGGAAUAUUGGACAAUGGGCGAAAGCCUGAUCCAGCCAUACCGCGUGGGUGAAGAAGGCCUUCGGGUUGUAAAGCCCUUUUGUUGGGAAAGAAAAGCAGCAGGUUAAUACCCCGCUGUUAUGACGGUACCCAAAGAAUAAGCACCGGCUAACUUCGUG